UACAGAGGGUGCGAGCGUUGUCCGGAAUCACUGGGCGUAAAGGGCGCGUAGGCGGCCUGAUAAGUAGGGGGUGAAAUCCUGUGGCUUAACUGCAGGGCUGCCUCCUAGACUGUUAGGCUCGAGCACGGUAGAGGCAGAUGGAAUUCCCGGUGUCGCGGUGGAAUGCGUAGAGAUCGGGAAGAACAUCGGUGGCGAAGGCGGUCUGCUGGGCCGUUGCUGACGCUGAGGCGCGACAGCGUGGGGAGCAAACAGG
This 253-nucleotide ribosomal RNA is filed under the name uncultured bacterium. RNAcentral's name for it is "partial 16S ribosomal RNA". It matches the Rfam family "Bacterial small subunit ribosomal RNA", at positions 524 to 776 of the family's 1533-position model. The record is from RNAcentral.